UCUUGCCGUUGAGGGCUUCGGCCUGAGACGGUGGGAGAAAGGAUAGCGGCAAACGGGUGAGUAACGCGUGAGCAACCUGCCCCCAAGACGGGGAUAGCCUCGUGAAAACGAGGGUAAUACCCGAUGUGUUCAGAUGACCGCAUGGCCGUCUGAACAAAGCUGGGGACCUUCGGGCCUGGCGCUUGGGGAUGGGCUCGCGUCCUAUCAGCUUGUUGGUAGGGUAACGGCCUACCAAGGCUAUUGACGGGUAGCUGGCCUGAGAGGGUGGUCAGCCACACUGGGACUGAGACACUGCCCAGACUCCUACGGGAGGCUGCAGUCGAGAAUAUUUAGCAAUGGGCGAAAGCCUGACUAUGCGACGCCGCGUGCAGGAUGAAGGCCUUCGGGUUGUAAACUGCUUUUGUCAGGGAAGAAAGGUUUCCCCUGAAUAGGGGGAAACUCUGACGGUACCUGACGAAUAAGCCACGGCCAACUCCGUGCC
Molecule: ribosomal RNA, 481 nt
Filed under: uncultured bacterium
Lineage: Bacteria
Description: bacterial SSU rRNA
Rfam family: Bacterial small subunit ribosomal RNA
Source: RNAcentral